Molecule: long non-coding RNA, 992 nt
Organism: Spinacia oleracea (spinach)
Lineage: Eukaryota; Viridiplantae; Streptophyta; Magnoliopsida; Caryophyllales; Amaranthaceae
Exons: 7
Source: RefSeq, a predicted model, not a curated record
UCUCUCUCUCUCUCUCCUUCUCUUUCUCUACCUCAUACGACUCUCAUUCAAUCUCCACCUCAAACGACUCUCUCUUCCCUUUGUUGCUUCUCCGCCGGUAACCCGCCAUCACCAUUUCACUUGCCGGCUGCACGGCUGCUUUUGUCGUAGUUGUUUCGUUGUCGUGCUGUCCCAGUUGUUGAUUCUAUGCUCUUUCUCGCCUGCCCCAUCUUUCUCUCGUCACUACCUUGUAUCGAAACCGCCAACGGUGGCCGAGGGUGGUGGUUGAGGGUUUGUCGCUACCCUAUCGAUCGAUACCUCAGAGACAAUCACAUUGGGGUACCAGUCUGGCCAAAUUUAUCUCCCACAACGAGGACCUUGUUCCUUUCUGAUAAUCAGUUUACUGGAGCCGGGAGGAACUUAUGACUUGUUUGUAUUAAAAUAACUUGGCGGGGGGACUACCUGAUAGCUUUCAACAACUCUCUGGUAUGUCUCUAAAAACAACAUAAGUGGUCAUUUGCCACCGUCAAUGGGGAUUUUGUCAAUUCUUAGACCUUGAAUACUUAUUACUGGAAUAAGUUAUGAAGAUUUGGAAGAGAUGUAUCGGCAAGGGGACAAGGUGGGGCCUGUGAAUUUGAGUUUUAUGUUCAUAUUGUUUAUGAUUGUAUUACUUUCUUUCUCAGUGCGUCUUGCUAGUGUAUCCUUUUGGUUCAUUAAGGCUGAGACCACUUGGGCUUUCACUGUAUUGGGAUACUUAGGGAAGCUUAUAAUGGGAAUCUUAGGGUGUGCAAGAUACAAUUGGAGACAUUUUUGUUCAAGAUUGGAAUGCUUAAUGACGUAAAAAUUUCAAUUUUUAUUUUAUUUCAGAAGUAGUAUAUUGAUACUUGUAUAGAAAUAGCUUAAUAGACACUAGAUUGGUUCAUAUAUAUGACGAUUGUAUGUAUAUUGUUCUAUAUAUGAAGUAUAUGAAAUAUAUGCUGGAGUACUUUGCCAAUAAAAUUUUCAUUUGUGUA